Anguilla rostrata (American eel) is the source of this 1274-nucleotide long non-coding RNA. RefSeq lists it as uncharacterized. The transcript has 3 exons. Lineage: Eukaryota; Metazoa; Chordata; Actinopteri; Anguilliformes; Anguillidae. The record is from RefSeq and is a predicted model, not a curated record.
AUUAUUUCAAGAAAAUCUAACCUAGGCUACUCGCUGUACACUUACCUGUACCUGACAUAUCUAGCUGUGCUUUGAAAAAAAAACUAGAUUAUAAAUAUAUCUCUGAAAAAACCUCUGUUUUCUAAUUAGAUGUUUUGUGCAGACCUGGUUGACUUAAUUUCCCAAGCUAGACAGAUCUGAUUGAUUGCUGACAUUGAUUUGGAGGAGGAGAGAAAUACAUUCAAACUGCAUCAUCAAACUAUAUUUCAAACGGAAAUUGUCCCUUGCUGUCUAGGCCACGGGAUGACUAGGUGCAGCAGGUCUGUGCCAUCACUCAUGCAGAUGAUAUGCGUAAAUUUAUUUAAUUUGAGCCAGAGUGCAGUCCUCUUCUGUUUGUGCUUGUCCCAGUUGGACACGAUACAUCACGCCCGUGUUACCUUUAAGAUUAAAUUAGCAACACGUGUUUUUCCAGACGCUGAUCUGACGCGUGACCCCGUGCAGGUGGACUGUUAUUUACGGUUUGGAAAGCAUUUCUUCCUCUGUGGUGCGGUGAGGCUGGAUAUGAAUGCGAAACACCUGAAGAAGAGCUGGUCGGUAGUGGGUGACAUGGAACGAGGGUGAUGUCAGCCUGUUCUUCAUCUUCCUGUGAUUCCUUCUGAAGGAUGUAGGAUGUUUUGAAACACACAGUGACUUUUCCCUGUCGUUAAGUAUAAUAUCAGGAGGUGAUGUUUUUUUGUCAAAAAGACUUUUAAAAAAGAAUAUGUUUUAGCUGGCCUGCAGAACACAAACAGAAUCUUGUUUUCCUAAACGUUUUGUACAAGGCCCCGAAAUAUUGGGUUGGCUAAGCAAUAUAGACUGAUUUCAAACAAAAAUGCCUUUUUUAGCUCAUUUAUUACGCUGAAAGUAAAAGGAAAAACAAAUGAUUACCUGGCAUUGAUAAAUCACUCUGUGAAUAUUUAAUGUUUUGACAGCUGAAAAUUAUAAAAAGAAAUGGGGUGAUUUAUUGAUACAUGCAUUUAUGUAAAUGGUGUUUGUACAGGAGCGAUUCUGUCUUAAAGAUUUUCAUUAUUAUACUGAAAAUAUUUACCGUAUACACACGCAUACCCAGACGCGCGCACACGCAUACACAUGCACACAUGCACACACGCACGCAGGCACGCAUGCACACACACACCUGACCGUAUCGUUAGCAUAUCUCAAACAUUGUUUGAUCUGAUCUGUCAGGGUGUGCAAUGAGGAUCAUCUCCUGUGUAAAUAACCAAUCAAACGUGAGCACAGCCUUUGACAAUUCCCCU